UCGUUCCCCCCAAAAAAUGGCGGACAUACAUUUGCUUGCAUGCUCUCUGUGAUCUCUGCGAUCUGGAAUUGACCCAACAUCCCUCUGGGAGAUAGGAAGCCAAUACCUGUCUCUCCAAAUACGAUUGAGUGGCCGCGCGAGACGGUGAAAUAGAAAACGAAGGAAAAUGGAACGCGGUGAGAAAGGAGGAGGGAAAAUGGAGAAACGUGUACCUUCACCUUUCGAAGACAUUUCUGUCCAUAUUGCUGUAGCAGCUCACGGCAAACGGACAUUUCGACGUAAUGUAAAUAGAAGCUCAUAUGAUAACUAUCAAGAACUCGCUGAACCAUUUCGCUACUUAUGUAUUAUUAAUCUUUUUGCAUGGGUAGCGAUGGGAAUACAAAUCCCCAUUGAGUUAGAUGCUAAUCUGACACAACUGCGAGAAAAUUUUUUGUCGCUCUAUACGGUAGAAUAAUUGCGCUAAUUCGCAAAAAGCAAAGACGAGCUUCAUUUCGUUGAAAAAAUAAGUUAUAGGAUUUCUCUUUUUCCGAACGAAAAUUAUUACUGGCCAUGUUCGCCGCAUCUACAUCACGAGUUUCACGAGUUAGCUUGUUUACGGACCAAUUUCGCACGGAUACAGGCUGCGCGAAAAUAGCAUUUUCUUUUUCUAGAAAUAUAAGCCUUCAAACUUGUGUUUUAACCUUCAACUUCUGAAAUGCUUCUUCGAGAGCUCUUUGUGAGAGCUAUUAUGUACAACUGUUACCACGUUUCAUAUAUCACGCAAUA
Long non-coding RNA from Cataglyphis hispanica, 765 nucleotides. RefSeq lists it as uncharacterized. The transcript is spliced from 3 exons. NCBI's taxonomy places the organism in Eukaryota, Metazoa, Arthropoda, Insecta, Hymenoptera, Formicidae. The record is from RefSeq and is a predicted model, not a curated record.